Molecule: long non-coding RNA, 522 nt
Organism: Haliotis rufescens (red abalone)
Lineage: Eukaryota; Metazoa; Mollusca; Gastropoda; Lepetellida; Haliotidae
Exons: 2
Source: RefSeq, a predicted model, not a curated record
AAUAGAUCAAGCACAUUCACUGACCAUUUUGGCUGCACAUAUACAACAGACAGAGAAGAUACAGACGGGAUUCGUCACAUCUUACAAUUCAUUCAGCAAAUUACAUGAUAUUGGCAAAUGUUUGGAAUAUCGCGAGCGGUUAUGUUACGUUGGUCCAACGUUUUCACAACAUGUUUCCAAGGGAAGCUACUCUUGUUAUAGAGGGCGCUGUUACUCACGCGCGUCUUUUCAAGCAGACGACGAAAGGAUGAUGCGCGGAGGGCUGAGGGAAAAUCUAUUUUGCGAUUCAGCGAUGUUCAACCAACGAGUCGCAAUCUCGGGGUGAGAGAGUAUUACAGCGGCAAGCAAAUAAAUAGCCAAACUUUUACUUACAUUAGUAUUUUUGAAUGAACAUUGCUUUAUUUGUCAUUGUCACAGGCGUAUUUGUUAAGUGUGGGGAUGGAUGAGGUUAGGAAAUUAAUUACAAACUCGAAUUUACAAGUCAAUUUUGUGAUUGCUGUCAGCGCAAAAAGCAGUGAACAU